GGAGGCGGACGAGGCAGCCGCUGCCCGAAGCAAUUCGGGGAGAGGAAAGUCCGAGCUCCACAGGGCGCAGCGGUGGGUAACACCCACUGUCCGCCGUACGGCGGAUAAGGAAAGUGCCACAGAAAACACACCGCCCCGACGCUUCGCGUCUGUCCAGCCGUGCCCGUCGUAGCCGAAUUCGCCAGAAUUCGGCUCCCCGGAAUGGCACAGCAGGAUACGGCCGAAGUCUUGGCGACUUCGGCUACGAUGGUCGCGCGCGAGACAUGUAUCGCACUUGGCGUCGGGGUAAGGGUGAAAAGGCGAGGUAAGAGCUCACCGCUUCGAUGGCGACAUCGGAGGCACGGCAAACCCCGCUGGGAGAAAGGCCAAAUAGGGAAGGAUGACGCGGCCCGCGUCGCUAUCACUUCCGGGUAGGCCGUUCGAGGUCCCGAGCAAUCGGGAUCCUAGAUAAAUGGCUGCCGCUCCCCGCAUGGCGGGGAGAACAGGACUCGGCUUAUCGUCCGCCUCCGGCU
This 512-nucleotide RNase P RNA is filed under the name Planctomycetota bacterium. RNAcentral describes it as "Planctomycetes bacterium (freshwater metagenome) RNase P RNA component class A". It matches the Rfam family "Bacterial RNase P class A". From Rfam's summary of the family: Ribonuclease P (RNase P) is a ubiquitous endoribonuclease, found in archaea, bacteria and eukarya as well as chloroplasts and mitochondria. Its best characterised activity is the generation of mature 5'-ends of tRNAs by cleaving the 5'-leader elements of precursor-tRNAs. Cellular RNase Ps are ribonucleoproteins. Lineage: Bacteria; Pseudomonadati; Planctomycetota. The record is from RNAcentral.